GAAGCUUUAGGAAAACAGACAAACCUGACACCAGCAUCUCCGACAAUACCAAUGGCCAUUCCAGCGGAAAGACCAGCAAGACCACACGCAAGACCGGAGGAGAGAUGGGCGUAUCCGUCGAAGAGGUAGUAAGACUUAGCCUUGGGGUUAAUCCCGGUACUGAUGAUAACAGCAAUAAUCAAACCGUAAAUACCCAACACACCAGCCAUAACAACAGGGACAAUGGAUUUCAUCACAAGCUCGGGUCUCAUCACUCCCAUUGAAGCCACACCAACACCACUCUUUGCCGUUCCAUAAGCAGCUCCCAUACCUAUCCAUACAACGAAAAAUUCACAUAUUAAACACAUGUCCAAAAUAUAAACAAUUCUUACAGGAUCCCACGAGACUCAUACUAUGUAAUACUCCAUCUGUUAUGAACUGUAAGAUGUUUAGAAUAAUUUUUAUGUUCCAAUAUAUAAGAUGUUCUCAUCUUUCUAGGUAAUUUUAAGUUUAUCAAAAACUGUGUAGCCAAUUAAAUUUAAUAGUUCUAUUUUGUAAUUGGUUGAAUAGUUUUUAGUUUAUAAAUUUAAUGAUACUUUCUAGUUAAAAAGUAAUUUUCUUAAUAAGUGUGCACUACCCAAAACAUCUUACAUUUCAGAACAGAGGGAAUAUAAUGCAGACUUCUCCCAACGGGAUUUGAACCUAUGACCCCUUGGAUCUCUACUAGGUAAUCCAAAAGUUUUAACUACCAGAUCAAAUUUAACAGCCAAAUAAGAAUGACUUAACUACAAUAUAAUAAUGAUGACUGAAAAGCAUUGCUCAAUCACAUGAUCCAAGGUCAAACGCAAACCAUAUCUAAUAAAUCACGUAUUCAUUUUGGCUCUGGACGCAGAUCGAACCUAAGAGACUAGUUCUUUCAAUCAAUCAUACAGUCGAUGAUCUAGAGUCAUUCAUACGCGCAAGCGAUCUUCGAUCAAUCAUGUGUGCAUUUUCCUAGACAUUUCUCAAACAACUACACGAAUCUCAAAACAUUUUUCCAAGAAACAAGGAAGACGAUCACGAACAAGGAUGAGAGUAGAGAGAAAGAGGAAAUUACAGGAGAAGACGAGUGCGGCUGCGGCGCCGAGGAAACCGAAGAAGGGAGCUGUUUCGUCGCCGCUGAACGUAGACAUGUUCGAAGUUUUUAUCUCUGGGCGUAUCCGUCGAAGAGGUAGUAAGACUUAGCCUUGGGGUUAAUCCCGGUACUGAUGAUAACAGCAAUAAUCAAACCGUAAAUACCCAACACACCAGCCAUAACAACAGGGACAAUGGAUUUCAUCACAAGCUCGGGUCUCAUCACUCCCAUUGAAGCCACACCAAC
Molecule: long non-coding RNA, 1339 nt
Filed under: Brassica napus (rape)
Lineage: Eukaryota; Viridiplantae; Streptophyta; Magnoliopsida; Brassicales; Brassicaceae
Description: long non-coding RNA (BNAP_LNC025563)
Source: RNAcentral